Molecule: ribosomal RNA, 478 nt
Filed under: uncultured bacterium
Lineage: Bacteria
Description: partial 16S ribosomal RNA
Rfam family: Bacterial small subunit ribosomal RNA
Source: RNAcentral
GAUGAACGCUCGCGGCAGGCCUAACACAUGCAAGUCGAGGGAGAAGCCCUUUCGGGGGCAGAAACCGGCGCACGGGUGCGUAACGCGUAUGCAACCUACCUUUCACAGGGGGAUAGCCCGAAGAAAUUUGGAUUAAUACCCCAUAAUAUUAUUGGAUGGCAUCAUUUGAUAAUUAAAACUGCGGUGGUGAAAGAUGGGCAUGCGUCCUAUUAGCUAGUUGGAGUGGUAACGGCACCCCAAGGCUACGAUAGGUAGGGGUCCUGAGAGGGAGAUCCCCCACACUGGUACUGAGACAGGGACCAGACUCCUACGGGAGGCAGCAGUGAGGAAUAUUGGUCAAGGGUCGGAAGACUGAACCAGCCAUGCCGCGUGCAGGAAGAAUGCCUUAUGGGUGGUAAACUGCUUUUAUAUGGGAAGAAUAAGGCGUACGUGUACGUUGAUGACGGUACCAUAUGAAUAAGCAUCGGCUAACUCCGUG